Molecule: long non-coding RNA, 358 nt
Filed under: Panax ginseng (ginseng)
Lineage: Eukaryota; Viridiplantae; Streptophyta; Magnoliopsida; Apiales; Araliaceae
Description: long non-coding RNA (PGIN_LNC003347)
Source: RNAcentral
UUUGGUGAAGGUUUAUUCACAGAUUUGUCAUCAUCUUUUCGAAUCAAUUAAUUGCUUGAAGACUUUAAUUAAUUUGAAGGUUUUGGGUGGUAAGAUAAUUUGAGUUUUCACUCAAAUUGAGGUAUUUUUGUAUUCUCUCAAUUUCUUAAUAUUUCAAGUUUUUAUUUAUAAAACUUGGAAGGACUUUGUAUUCACAGUUGAUUAUAGUGGAAUUUUUCGGAGUUUGGCCCGUAGUUUUUACCUCUUAAUUUUAGAGGGUUUUCCACGUAAAUUUUGGUGUUUUGUGAUUGGUUUAUUUUUCGUAUUAUUAUUUUCUGUGGUUAUAAUUUAUUUGGUGGAAUUGUAUAAUUUAUUUGGC